GAUGAACGCUGGCGGCGUGCCUAAUACAUGCAAGUCGAGCGAACAGACGAGGAGCUUGCUCCUCUGACGUUAGCGGCGGACGGGUGAGUAACACGUGGAUAACCUACCUAUAAGACUUGGAUAACUUCGGGAAACCGGAGCUACUACCAGAGCAUAUAUUCAACCGCAUGGAUCAAUAGUUCAAGACGGUUUUGCUGUCACUUAUAGAUGAAUCCGCGCCGCAUUAGCUAGUUGGUAAGGUAACGGCUUACCAAGGCACGAUGCGUAGCCGGCCUGAGAGGGUGAUCGGCCACACUGGAACUGAGACACGGUCCAGACUCCUACGGGAGGCAGCAGUAGGGAAUCUUCCGCAAUGGGCGAAAGCCUGACGGAGCAACGCCGCGUGAGUGAUGAAGGUCUUCGGAUCGUAAAACUCUGUUAUUAGGGAAGAAAAAAUGUGUAAGUAACUAUGCACGUCUUGACGGUACCUAAUCAGAAAGCCACGGCUAACUACGUG
This 496-nucleotide ribosomal RNA is filed under the name uncultured bacterium. Its description in RNAcentral is "partial 16S ribosomal RNA". It matches the Rfam family "Bacterial small subunit ribosomal RNA", at positions 28 to 507 of the family's 1533-position model. The record is from RNAcentral.